This 347-nucleotide ribosomal RNA is filed under the name uncultured bacterium. RNAcentral describes it as "partial 16S ribosomal RNA". It matches the Rfam family "Bacterial small subunit ribosomal RNA", at positions 338 to 682 of the family's 1533-position model. The record is from RNAcentral.
CCUACGGGAGGCAGCAGUGAGGAAUAUUGGUCAAUGGGCGCGAGCCUGAACCAGCCAAGUAGCGUGAAGGAUGACUGCCCUACGGGGUGUAAACUUCUUUUAUAAAGGAAUAAAGUGAGGCACGUGUGCCUGUUUGUAUGUACUUUAUGAAUAAGGAGCGGCUAACUCCGUGACAGCAGCAGCGGUAAUACGGAGGAUCCGAGCGUUAUCCGGAUUUAUUGGGUUUAAAGGGAGCGUAGAGGGGUUGUUAAGUCAGUUGUGAAAGUUUGCGGCUCAACCGUAAAAUUGCAAUUGAUACUGGCAGCCUUGCGUACCGUUGAGCUAGGCUGACUUCGUGGUGUAGCGGU